AGUGAACGCUGGCGGUAGGCCUAACACAUGCAAGUCGAACGGCAGCACAGUAAGAGCUUGCUCUUACGGGUGGCGAGUGGCGGACGGGUGAGAAAUAAAUGGAAAUCUCUUUUUUCGGGGGGGUUAAGGAAGGAAACCUACGCCAAUAACGGAAUACACCUAACGGUGAAAGCAAGGGAAUCUCCGAACUUGCCGGGUUUGAUUGAGCGGAUGUCGGAUUAGCUAGUUGGCGGGGUAAAGGCCCACCAAGGCGACGAUCCGUAGCUGGUCUGAGAGGAUGAUCAGCCACACUGGAACUGAGACACGGUCCAGACUCCUACGGGAGGCAGCAGUGGGGAAUAUUGGACAAUGGGCGCAAGCCUGAUCCAGCCAUACCGCGUGGGUGAAGAAGGCCUUCGGGUUGUAAAGCCCUUUUGUUGGGAAAGAAAAGCAGCAGGUUAAUACCCCGCUGUUCUGACGGUACCCAAAGAAUAAGCACCGGCUAACUUCGUG
This 492-nucleotide ribosomal RNA is filed under the name uncultured bacterium. RNAcentral's name for it is "partial 16S ribosomal RNA". It matches the Rfam family "Bacterial small subunit ribosomal RNA", at positions 29 to 507 of the family's 1533-position model. The record is from RNAcentral.